Molecule: ribosomal RNA, 447 nt
Filed under: uncultured bacterium
Lineage: Bacteria
Description: bacterial SSU rRNA
Rfam family: Bacterial small subunit ribosomal RNA
Source: RNAcentral
UCGGGAAUUUUGGGCAAUGGGCGAAAGCCUGACCCAGCAACGCCGCGUGAAGGAUGAAGUAUUUCGGUAUGUAAACUUCGUAAGAAUAGGAAGAAUAAAUGACGGUACUAUUUGUAAGGUCCGGCUAACUACGUGCCAGCAGCCGCGGUAAUACGUAGGGACCAAGCGUUGUUCGGAUUUACUGGGCGUAAAGGGCGCGUAGGCGGUUUGUCAAGUCAGUUGUGAAAUCUCCGAGCUUAACUCGGAACGGUCAACUGAUACUGUCAAACUAGAGUACAGAAGGGGCAAUCGGAAUUCUUGGUGUAGCGGUGAAAUGCGUAGAUAUCAAGAGGAACACCUGAGGCGAAGGCGGGUUGCUGGGCUGAUACUGACGCUGAAGCGCGAAAGCUAGGGUAGCAAACGGGAUUAGAUACCCACGUAGUCCCUGAGCGGGCUGGCAAGGCGCAU